UACGAAGGGGGCUAGCGUUGCUCGGAAUUACUGGGCGUACAGCGCGCGCAGGUGGUUUGGUAAGUCGGAUGUGAAAUCCCCGGGCUCAACCUGGGAACUGCAUUCGAAACUGCCUGGCUAGAGUUUGAGAGAGGGAAGUGGAAUUCCACAUGUAGCGGUGAAAUGCGUAGAUAUGUGGAGGAACAUCAGUGGCGAAGGCGGCUUCCUGGCUUAAAACUGACGCUGUGGCGCGAAAGCGUGGGUAGCAAACAGG
Molecule: ribosomal RNA, 253 nt
Filed under: uncultured bacterium
Lineage: Bacteria
Description: partial 16S ribosomal RNA
Rfam family: Bacterial small subunit ribosomal RNA
Source: RNAcentral